UUACUGGCUCAGGAUGAACGCUGGCGGCGUGCCUAAUACAUGCAAGUCGAGCGAGAACUUGAUGAUGGAAGAUUCGUCUGAAAGAUCAAGGGAAAGCGGCGGACGGGUGAGUAACGCGUAGGCAACCUGCCCUUAGCAGAGGGAUAGCCAUUGGAAACGAUGAUUAAAACCUCAUAACGCUUGAGAGACACAUGUCUUUCGAGCCAAAGAUUUAUCGGCUAAGGAUGGGCCUGCGUCUGAUUAACUGGUUGGUGAGGUAACGGCUCACCAAGGUGACGAUCAGUAGCCGACCUGAGAGGGUGAUCGGCCACAUUGGAACUGAGACACGGCCCAAACUUCUACGGAAGGCAGCAGUAAGGAAUCUUGCACAAUGGGGGAAACCCUGAUGCAGCAACGCCGCGUGAACGAAGAAGGCCUUCGGGUUGUAAAGUUCUGAUCUUGGGGAAGAAGGAAGUGACGGUACCCAAGGAGAAAGCCCCGGCUAACUACGUGCCAGCCGCUGC
RNAcentral lists this ribosomal RNA (503 nucleotides) under uncultured bacterium. Its description in RNAcentral is "bacterial SSU rRNA". It matches the Rfam family "Bacterial small subunit ribosomal RNA", at positions 16 to 518 of the family's 1533-position model. The record is from RNAcentral.